This 497-nucleotide ribosomal RNA is filed under the name uncultured bacterium. RNAcentral's name for it is "partial 16S ribosomal RNA". It matches the Rfam family "Bacterial small subunit ribosomal RNA", at positions 28 to 507 of the family's 1533-position model. The record is from RNAcentral.
GAUGAACGCUGGCGGCGUGCCUAAUACAUGCAAGUCGAGCGAACAGACGAGGAGCUUGCUCCUCUGACGUUAGCGGCGGACGGGUGAGUAACACGUGGAUAACCUACCUAUAAGACUGGGAUAACUUCGGGAAACCGGAGCUAAUACCGGAUAACAUGUUGAACCGCAUGGUUCAACAGUGAAAGACGGUCUUGCUGUCACUUAUAGAUGGAUCCGCGCCGCAUUAGCUAGUUGGUAAGGUAACGGCUUACCAAGGCAACGAUGCGUAGCCGACCUGAGAGGGUGAUCGGCCACACUGGAACUGAGACACGGUCCAGACUCCUACGGGAGGCAGCAGUAGUGAAUCUUCCGCAAUGGGCGAAAGCCUGACGGAGCAACGCCGCGUGAGUGAAGAAGGUCUUCGGAUCGUAAAACUCUGUUAUUAGGGAAGAACAAAUGUGUAAGUAACUAUGCACGUCUUGACGGUACCUAAUCAGAAAGCCACGGCUAACUACGUG